ACGAAGGGUGCAAGCGUUGUUCGGAUUUAUUGGGCGUAAAGCGCAGGUAGGCGGAUUUGUAAGUCAGAUGUGAAAUCUCGGGGCUCAACCCCGAAACUGCGUCUGAAACUGCUAAUCUUGAAUCUCGGAGGGGGAAGGGGAAUUUCGCAUGUAGGGGUAAAAUCCGUAGAGAUGCGAAGGAACACCAGAGGCGAAGGCGCCUUCCUGGACGAGUAUUGACGCUGAGCUGCGAAAGCGUGGGGAGCAAACAGG
Molecule: ribosomal RNA, 252 nt
Filed under: uncultured bacterium
Lineage: Bacteria
Description: partial 16S ribosomal RNA
Rfam family: Bacterial small subunit ribosomal RNA
Source: RNAcentral